UGGUUGAGGAAUCUAGCUUGCUGGGAUGGUAUUAGCAUUUACGCAGGCCUUACACAGGCUAGCCUACUACAGGGGCCUCCAGAGUACCAAGGCAGGGAAUGAAUUCCCAUUCCAGAUUUAAUUUGACCUUACUGCUGGCUAGUAUACCCCUUCUGCUAAAUACCUUGGGGCUGGAUGGCACUUGGUGGUAGAUGCUGGAACUCUGGACGCUCCAUUCUCUCUGUGCUGAUCUUCCGCAGCAAACUCUUCAGUCCCAGGAUCACUUAAAUAACAAAAAGUUCUAUGGACCACCCCCUUCCACUAGUGCUGAUAACUCUAAAUCUUACAUCAUUUCUCUCUAUUGUAAAACUACCAUUGUGACUAUAUUAAUACAUUUUCUUAUAAUUUUUAUUGUUAGUUAAAGCUUAGAAUAGAAAAUAGGCUUAGAAAGCAUUUGUAUGUACCACUUUGACUGAGCCAAUGGUACCUUACCCUGAGAAGUGCUUUGUUUCAUUUCCCAGCCUUGGGUUUAGCCCCACGGGUGGGCUCUGGAGAACAGAAAGCCCCUGAGUUUCUACUUCCUCUCUCCCAAUUUUGAUUUACUCACUGCUGACUCUUACAGGAAGCCCUAGGUGGUAAAGAGAUCAAAUCAGAAUUCCUAGCCAGGAAAACCCUGUCUCUUAGUUACAAUGACCCUUCUCUGUACUGCAUUCAGCUCUGUGGCUGUUAACACCAGAAAACCUUCAUCUGGCUUCACACCCUCCUUCUUAGUUUCCUUCAGUCAAGUCUUAUGUAAUCUGCCACUGAUGGCAGACUUCCUUCUUACCCUCCUUAUGUAGUCCCCCCGAGGCUUCAAGCCACAAAGCUUCCUAGAUGCGUCCCACCAAAGGGGUGCUUUCUGAAACCAAACCUUUUCUGUCUUUCUCAGCCCUCAUAUCCUCACAUCAAUCCCCUACUGGACACAUUUCCCCUGAGAGUAUCAGGGGACACUCCUAGAGAGCCACUAGGUACUGCUGCAAAUCCCAUUCCUCACCCAUCUCCCCGCUGGAGCUCCUGGAAUCAGAUUUUGCAGUUUCCUGUCAUUCUAGCCUCCUUUUCUGUUCAUUUGGAAGAUUUUCUCCAUUGCUUUUGAUAAAUUCCUGGUUUGGUAGAAAUAUCCAGUUUUUAGGAAGAUCUUGUGGGAUGGGUUCCCUGUCUCCGGCAGCUUGGUUGCCCCUCAGAAAGAUCUGCUCCUGCAUUCUGCCUGCAAUGCUGCCAUUGCCCUCUGCCUGGCCUAGGCUGUGUGGGAUCAGUAUGUGGAGUCCUCUGCAUAGACAUUCCAUCCCUCUUUAUCCAUCUUGGCAAACAAAGCAUCGCUGUGCCCCUAACUUCCUCCUCUUCCUUCUCCUCCAUCAUUUAUUUCUUCUUUGCUUUCCCUCACUUCUCCCUUUCUCUCAUGGAUACCCUUCCUUUAAAUCUCCUUCUUGUCCGUUUGCUCCCUGUUGCCCAUCCAUGCCCACUCCCCCCAUCUUUCAUUUUGAAUAGCUAUCUUCCUCAUCGCCUGCUCUUGCUGAGCAAACAGCAUGCUGUGGGAAGAAUGGCAGCAGAGUAGGUCCCUGGUUGCCAAAGUAAGCUAUCCCUUUUCUCCAGAAGAUCAGUGCUAUGUUUUCCCAUCUUGUCCUCAGUGAUCCUUAAGAGCCAGGGAACCCCAAGAUGCUGACUCUCUUGGGAUGAACAAGCUCUCUUGGCUUCUUCCAGUGUUGAAGAGGAGAGGAAUUAUUCGGUUCAGAUGUCCCAUUCUUUGGCUCCUGAGUGUGGCUCUGGAGUGCCUCUGCUACUGACAACUGCUCAGUAUCUGGGUGUUGGAGAGAUAAAACAGGCUCUAGAAGAGAAAGUGAACCAGGAUGGAAUCUACAACCCUGGCAAACUGAGUAUUGGCUUCUCUCACUGACCACUGAGGGGAUAAUUUAUCAAAGAUGUCACCCAGUGAUAAAAGCAGCCCUAAAAUGCUUUCUUUAAAAAAUGUGUCCUCUGAGAACAUUUAGAUUUUGCCUCUAGACUCUGGUUAGGUGAGUGACUUCACUUUGUGCCCCUUUAUCCUAUGGUUCCUCAGCUAGAGGAGUAGUCAGCAGGUGGGACAGUGAGUCAUACUCUAAAAUGGCUCUGUCAUUCCUGUGCCAUAGGGCUGUCAGGAGUCUGGGACUUCUACAGGAGGCUUUAGAGAGGGAGGGAGGAGAUGGGGUCAGCUGGGACAUUGAUAGGCUUUCAGAGUUUGGAGGGACCUUAUCACCUGGAAAUAUGAAUGUAGAUCUCUUUGGCAAAUCAAAAUUGUAUUUUAAAGCUAUUCUGUCUUUGAAAUGG
Gorilla gorilla gorilla (western lowland gorilla) is the source of this 2319-nucleotide long non-coding RNA. RefSeq lists it as uncharacterized. The record is from RefSeq and is a predicted model, not a curated record. The transcript is spliced from 2 exons. Lineage: Eukaryota; Metazoa; Chordata; Mammalia; Primates; Hominidae.